This 205-nucleotide ribosomal RNA is filed under the name uncultured fungus. Its description in RNAcentral is "partial 18S rRNA". It matches the Rfam family "Eukaryotic small subunit ribosomal RNA", at positions 1468 to 1672 of the family's 1831-position model. The record is from RNAcentral. Lineage: Eukaryota; Fungi.
UGCCCUUAGAUGUUCUGGGCCGCACGCGCGCUACACUGACAGAGCCAGCGAGUUCUUUUCCUUGGCCGGAAGGUCUGGGUAAUCUUGUGAAACUCUGUCGUGCUGGGGAUAGAGCAUUGCAAUUAUUGCUCUUCAACGAGGAAUACCUAGUAAGCGUGAGUCAUCAGCUCGCGUUGAUUACGUCCCUGCCCUUUGUACACACCGC